Molecule: small nuclear RNA, 111 nt
Organism: Marmota marmota marmota (Alpine marmot)
Lineage: Eukaryota; Metazoa; Chordata; Mammalia; Rodentia; Sciuridae
Gene: U4
Rfam family: U4 spliceosomal RNA
About the family: U4 small nuclear RNA (U4 snRNA) is a component of the major U2-dependent spliceosome. The structure of U4 snRNA from yeast and human has been reported. U4 snRNA presents a k-turn RNA motif in the 5p-SL related to recognition of Snu13 protein.
Source: Ensembl
AGCUUUGCACAGUGGCAGUAUCGUAGCCAAUGAGGUUUAUCCGAGGCACGAUUAUUGCUAAUUGAAAACUUAUUUACAAGGCUGCAGUAAAUACUAAAAGUUUAGAAAAAC